This is a non-coding RNA of Dipodomys ordii (Ord's kangaroo rat), 65 nucleotides long. The record is from Rfam. Lineage: Eukaryota; Metazoa; Chordata; Mammalia; Rodentia; Heteromyidae.
GGUGGCUCAGUGGUAGAGUGCUUGCCUUGCAUGCAUAAGACCCUGGGUUCGAUUCCUCAGCACCA